This 76-nucleotide transfer RNA is filed under the name Escherichia coli. Its description in RNAcentral is "tRNA-Val". It matches the Rfam family "tRNA". From Rfam's summary of the family: Transfer RNA (tRNA) molecules are approximately 80 nucleotides in length. Their secondary structure includes four short double-helical elements and three loops (D, anti-codon, and T loops). RNAcentral also lists the same sequence under 4 other names. The record is from RNAcentral. Lineage: Bacteria; Pseudomonadati; Pseudomonadota; Gammaproteobacteria; Enterobacterales; Enterobacteriaceae.
GGGUAAUUAGCUCAGCUGGGAGAGCACCUCCCUUACAAGGAGGGGGUCGGCGGUUCGAUCCCGUCAUCACCCACCA